Molecule: long non-coding RNA, 218 nt
Organism: Aplysia californica (California sea hare)
Lineage: Eukaryota; Metazoa; Mollusca; Gastropoda; Aplysiida; Aplysiidae
Exons: 2
Source: RefSeq, a predicted model, not a curated record
AGUACAUCUUAAGACGACCCUCCAGGCUAUUGCCGUACGGGUCACCCUGCACAGACCAAUCACGAUCUGCUCAGUUUACAUCCCACCAACUUACCCCCUCAAAAUAACCCAACCAAAUGACUUAAAAUCUCAGCUCCCAAAACCUUUUAUUUUGCUAGGUGAUUUCAAUGCCCACAGCCCCCUUUGGGGAGACAAACCUACAGACCAGAAAGGAAAAA